This 357-nucleotide ribosomal RNA is filed under the name Gymnomeniidae sp. 2-SB FSB-2019. RNAcentral's name for it is "partial large subunit ribosomal RNA". The record is from RNAcentral. Lineage: Eukaryota; Metazoa; Mollusca; Solenogastres; Pholidoskepia; Gymnomeniidae.
GGAGUAAUUYUAAACGGCCGCGGAAUUUUAACCGUGCUAAGGUAGCAUAAUCAUUUGUCUUUUAAUUAAAGACUUGUAUGAAUGGUUUAAUGAAAUAAAGCUAUCUCUAAAAUAUUAAAUAAAAAUUAUUUUUAAAGUGAAAAAUCUUUAAUAAAAUAAAAAGACAAAAAGACCCUAUAGAGUUUAAUUUAUCUGUAUAGACAUAUAUACAUAUAAAUUUAGUUGGGGCAACUAAUGAAAAAAAAAAUUUCUUUUAAAAAAAAAAAAUAAAAUCAUUAAUUUAAUACUAUAAAACAAAUUACCUUAGGGGUAACAGCGUAAUUUUUUUUAARAGCUCAAGGCGAARAAAAAAAUUAC